UAGUUACUAUGAUGUUGGCCCGGUUCACUCAGAUACUCAUAUGUCGUAACCGAGAUAUAUCGGUGGUUUUACGCCCACUGUUUCUGAUUGAGCCGUGCCAAUAUCUUAGUACUCUUU
Ananas comosus (pineapple) is the source of this 117-nucleotide microRNA precursor. The record is from Rfam. NCBI's taxonomy places the organism in Eukaryota, Viridiplantae, Streptophyta, Magnoliopsida, Poales, Bromeliaceae.